Long non-coding RNA from Agrilus planipennis (emerald ash borer), 1062 nucleotides. RefSeq lists it as uncharacterized. Lineage: Eukaryota; Metazoa; Arthropoda; Insecta; Coleoptera; Buprestidae. The record is from RefSeq and is a predicted model, not a curated record. The transcript has 3 exons.
UCUUAACACGGCUUCUUUUAGUGCAAAGAAAUUUUUAUGUGGUGCUAAAUAUUCAUAUUUUUAAGUCUUAAGUGUACGCAAUAGUAAAAGAAUUUUACUACGACUUAUUACUUAAAACCAAUGGAACAUGUAUUAGUAAGAACGAGUAAUUUUUUUUUUCAAUUUAGUGCGCCAUGAUUUUAUUUAAACAUAUGAGUACUUUUCUGCUACAAAAAGCAGUGUAAAAAAGCUGCACAUAUAUUCACAACGAUUAAUUUCUAAUAAACCGUUUAAUAAAAAAUGAUUUUUUUAAAUCAAGUAAAAUAAUUGUGUUACUCCCAUUGUAAACUAUUAAGUGCUCCGCCACUGAUUAUUGUGUUUUAUUUAGUGUAUGGUGGGGAUAGCGCCAUGCUGAAAUGCUUAUUACUUUAUAAUGUGCAUGAACAGCGUUAGUGUGCACCAUAGAUAAUAGGUGUGCACGUGGUGUUGUUGGUAUGCGGUUGUGUUUUGCAGGCCGUACUUUUAAUAAAAAAGCGGUCGUAAUAAAAUUCCUCUACCAUGUACAGCAAUAAUAGUGUUUAAAACCGGUAAACAUUAAUGUGUAUCAUACGUAAUAUUUAUGUCAAGUAAAAUAAUACAUUCCUAUACAACAUUACUUCAAUACACCUGAAAAACAGUAAUAUUUGAAUAUGUGGUGCAUGUGUAUGCGAACUAUCUACUCAUCAGUUCUUUGUCGUCCUUACGUGGUGCUAAAUUUAGAAGUCUGUCGAUUAUCUAAAAUCUGUAGAAAACCCAAAAGAAACUGGACACCAGAAUAUGAUGGCUUUCAAUCAUCAAAUAAUGUAAAAUUGCUUCUAGCAGUUUCCUGAAGAUUACAGCAACGCUGAAAAAUCAGUGGCAGAUCGAGGUAGUUCACAUGCAUAAUUUCACAAUUGACGUUGGACUUAUGGGACUAUUUAACUACAAUGAUAUUGUUUGACUGGUAUGUACCUACUUUUUUAUAUGUAAUGAUAACGUUGGAAACAAUUUUUUUAGUGUCCUUUUGACACAUAUUGGUUGUUAGUAUUUUAUUGCUUUGUACAC